CCUGCGUGAGCCGGAAAGUGAGGCGUCCUU
This 30-nucleotide small RNA is filed under the name Bombyx mori (domestic silkworm). RNAcentral describes it as "ovarian small RNA-14067". The record is from RNAcentral. Lineage: Eukaryota; Metazoa; Arthropoda; Insecta; Lepidoptera; Bombycidae.